RNAcentral lists this ribosomal RNA (2484 nucleotides) under Staphylococcus aureus M0908. RNAcentral describes it as "bacterial LSU rRNA". It matches the Rfam family "Bacterial large subunit ribosomal RNA", at positions 434 to 2925 of the family's 2925-position model. The record is from RNAcentral. Lineage: Bacteria; Bacillati; Bacillota; Bacilli; Caryophanales; Staphylococcaceae.
CCGUCGGAAUCUGGGAGGACCAUCUCCUAAGGCUAAAUACUCUCUAGUGACCGAUAGUGAACCAGUACCGUGAGGGAAAGGUGAAAAGCACCCCGGAAGGAGAGUGAAAUAGAACCUGAAACCGUGUGCUUACAAGUAGUCAGAGCCCGUUAAUGGGUGAUGGCGUGCCUUUUGUAGAAUGAACCGGCGAGUUACGAUUUGAUGCAAGGUUAAGCAGUAAAUGUGGAGCCGUAGCGAAAGCGAGUCUGAAUAGGGCGUUUAGUAUUUGGUCGUAGACCCGAAACCAGGUGAUCUACCCUUGGUCAGGUUGAAGUUCAGGUAACACUGAAUGGAGGACCGAACCGACUUACGUUGAAAAGUGAGCGGAUGAACUGAGGGUAGCGGAGAAAUUCCAAUCGAACCUGGAGAUAGCUGGUUCUCUCCGAAAUAGCUUUAGGGCUAGCCUCAAGUGAUGAUUAUUGGAGGUAGAGCACUGUUUGGACGAGGGGCCCCUCUCGGGUUACCGAAUUCAGACAAACUCCGAAUGCCAAUUAAUUUAACUUGGGAGUCAGAACAUGGGUGAUAAGGUCCGUGUUCGAAAGGGAAACAGCCCAGACCACCAGCUAAGGUCCCAAAAUAUAUGUUAAGUGGAAAAGGAUGUGGCGUUGCCCAGACAACUAGGAUGUUGGCUUAGAAGCAGCCAUCAUUUAAAGAGUGCGUAAUAGCUCACUAGUCGAGUGACACUGCGCCGAAAAUGUACCGGGGCUAAACAUAUUACCGAAGCUGUGGAUUGUCCUUUGGACAAUGGUAGGAGAGCGUUCUAAGGGCGUUGAAGCAUGAUCGUAAGGACAUGUGGAGCGCUUAGAAGUGAGAAUGCCGGUGUGAGUAGCGAAAGACGGGUGAGAAUCCCGUCCACCGAUUGACUAAGGUUUCCAGAGGAAGGCUCGUCCGCUCUGGGUUAGUCGGGUCCUAAGCUGAGGCCGACAGGCGUAGGCGAUGGAUAACAGGUUGAUAUUCCUGUACCACCUAUAAUCGUUUUAAUCGAUGGGGGGACGCAGUAGGAUAGGCGAAGCGUGCGAUUGGAUUGCACGUCUAAGCAGUAAGGCUGAGUAUUAGGCAAAUCCGGUACUCGUUAAGGCUGAGCUGUGAUGGGGAGAAGACAUUGUGUCUUCGAGUCGUUGAUUUCACACUGCCGAGAAAAGCCUCUAGAUAGAAAAUAGGUGCCCGUACCGCAAACCGACACAGGUAGUCAAGAUGAGAAUUCUAAGGUGAGCGAGCGAACUCUCGUUAAGGAACUCGGCAAAAUGACCCCGUAACUUCGGGAGAAGGGGUGCUCUUUAGGGUUAACGCCCAGAAGAGCCGCAGUGAAUAGGCCCAAGCGACUGUUUAUCAAAAACACAGGUCUCUGCUAAACCGUAAGGUGAUGUAUAGGGGCUGACGCCUGCCCGGUGCUGGAAGGUUAAGAGGAGUGGUUAGCUUCUGCGAAGCUACGAAUCGAAGCCCCAGUAAACGGCGGCCGUAACUAUAACGGUCCUAAGGUAGCGAAAUUCCUUGUCGGGUAAGUUCCGACCCGCACGAAAGGCGUAACGAUUUGGGCACUGUCUCAACGAGAGACUCGGUGAAAUCAUAGUACCUGUGAAGAUGCAGGUUACCCGCGACAGGACGGAAAGACCCCGUGGAGCUUUACUGUAGCCUGAUAUUGAAAUUCGGCACAGCUUGUACAGGAUAGGUAGGAGCCUUUGAAACGUGAGCGCUAGCUUACGUGGAGGCGCUGGUGGGAUACUACCCUAGCUGUGUUGGCUUUCUAACCCGCACCACUUAUCGUGGUGGGAGACAGUGUCAGGCGGGCAGUUUGACUGGGGCGGUCGCCUCCUAAAAGGUAACGGAGGCGCUCAAAGGUUCCCUCAGAAUGGUUGGAAAUCAUUCAUAGAGUGUAAAGGCAUAAGGGAGCUUGACUGCGAGACCUACAAGUCGAGCAGGGUCGAAAGACGGACUUAGUGAUCCGGUGGUUCCGCAUGGAAGGGCCAUCGCUCAACGGAUAAAAGCUACCCCGGGGAUAACAGGCUUAUCUCCCCCAAGAGUUCACAUCGACGGGGAGGUUUGGCACCUCGAUGUCGGCUCAUCGCAUCCUGGGGCUGUAGUCGGUCCCAAGGGUUGGGCUGUUCGCCCAUUAAAGCGGUACGCGAGCUGGGUUCAGAACGUCGUGAGACAGUUCGGUCCCUAUCCGUCGUGGGCGUAGGAAAUUUGAGAGGAGCUGUCCUUAGUACGAGAGGACCGGGAUGGACAUACCUCUGGUGUACCAGUUGUCGUGCCAACGGCAUAGCUGGGUAGCUAUGUGUGGACGGGAUAAGUGCUGAAAGCAUCUAAGCAUGAAGCCCCCCUCAAGAUGAGAUUUCCCAACUUCGGUUAUAAGAUCCCUCAAAGAUGAUGAGGUUAAUAGGUUCGAGGUGGAAGCAUGGUGACAUGUGGAGCUGACGAAUACUAAUCGAUCGAAGACUUAAUCAA